GACGAACGCUGGCGGCGUGCUUAACACAUGCAAGUCGAGCGGUAAGGCCCUUUCGGGGGUACACGAGCGGCGAACGGGUGAGUAACACGUGGGUGACCUGCCCUCAGCUCUGGGAUAAGCCUGGGAAACUGGGUCUAAUACUGGAUAUGACUCCACGGUGCAUGUCGUGGGGUGGAAAGCCUUGUGCGGCUGAGGAUGGGCCCGCGGCCUAUCAGCUUGUUGGGUGGGGGNGA
This 233-nucleotide ribosomal RNA is filed under the name uncultured bacterium. RNAcentral describes it as "partial 16S ribosomal RNA". It matches the Rfam family "Bacterial small subunit ribosomal RNA", at positions 28 to 262 of the family's 1533-position model. The record is from RNAcentral.